CCCCACCUCACCCUCUCAUCCGCCCUUCCUAGGAAUUGGUCCCAUAAAGCACUGCAAGAAGCCGGAGGGAGCGAGGAGAGCAGGAAAGGAGUCUGGGCCGGAGGUUUGCUUCCUGAAAUCUUACCCUACAUGGCAAACACAUCUUCUGUUUUCCAUUGCCGUACCAAUUUGGUGGACAACGCUCAUCAUUCACUUGGAAUCUGUGGUUCUGAAUCAUACCGUUGCAGAGUUGAAACUGACCCAGGCAUCACAAAAGUCUGUCCUCCUUCUGCCAAAGGAGGAAAGGUGGGACCACUCCAAGCUCAGCUGGAAAACCUCCUGCGUAGAGGAGAGUCCACUAGCCUCCAAGGCAGUCUAAUAAAAGCUCUUGCCAUCAGAGAAUUCUUCCUAAGGUCUACUUUGAAUGCCUUGUAACUUGAACCCACAGGUUUGGGUCGCACCCACAAGAGCUUCAGAAGCCCAGUUUGCUCCAUCUUCCACGUGAUGGUCCUUCAGAGAUUUCAAGAUGACUAUCAGUCUUCUACGGGGUAAGCCUACCUUACAUCCUCAAACUUUCCAGCCCUCAUCGUUUCUUGAGAAGCAUUUGCGAGACUUUGGGCUAUGAUUUGGAAAAUAGAUAUCCACUCCAUUCUUCCCAUUUUUUUUGCCUUAAAUUUAAUGUGACACCUCAGUGAUUAAACCACAAUAGUGCAGCCCAAACUCUGCUCAUAGUCAGCAUUCAAUACCAAUGGAUUCUAACAGCCACUUGGAGGUUGACUCAGCCUUAUGAUCCUUCCAAAUUUGGAAAAAUGAGCACCCGGCUUGUAGGGAGGUGGGGGCAAAGCGUAGUCUGUAUAAUUAAAUUGUAAACCACCCCGAGAGUGCUUUAUGCACUAUGAGGUGCUAUACAAGCACCAUGCUUUGUUUUUUUUUUAAAAAAUCCCAAAUGUCACUGGCACUCAAAAUUAUUCCGGUGACGAACAUGAACAUCAGAGCUGUCCGCCGACAUUUGGCCGGCUGAGAUGAAGCGCAAGGUGGAGAUUGUCCUCAUUCAUGUGCAAAGGCCAAGCGGAAUUUCCUUCCACACUUGUGAUAGAACCACAGCAUUCCCCAUGACAUCUUGAAGGCAGCAGCUUUGGGGGUGGCAGGCAGGCUGCUUAGAGCUUCCUUCUCUCCUCUUUGCUCCCAGUCUGGGCUGUGCAGGACGCUGCUGGUGGCUUGGAUAAAAAGACGGAACAUGUUUUGCUUGAGUGAUAAACCUUUCCGGGUGAAGAAACCCCAGGAAGAAACAACAAUAACACAAUAAAGACAAAAGUGAUAUCA
Molecule: long non-coding RNA, 1302 nt
Filed under: Pogona vitticeps (central bearded dragon)
Lineage: Eukaryota; Metazoa; Chordata; Lepidosauria; Squamata; Agamidae
Description: lncRNA (ENSPVIG00000002537.1)
Source: RNAcentral